UCCGAGUUGACCCCGGCAGUCUCCCAUGAGUCCCCACCAUCACGUGCUGGCAACAUGGAACGAGGGUUGCGCUCGUUGCGGGACUUAACCCAACAUCUCACGACACGAGCUGACGACAACCAUGCACCACCUGUAAACCGACCGCAAGCGGGGCACCUGUUUCCAGGUGUUUCCGGUUCAUGUCAAGCCUUGGUAAGGUGGGGAUGCGUCUUGGAAG
Molecule: unclassified non-coding RNA, 217 nt
Filed under: uncultured Micrococcaceae bacterium
Lineage: Bacteria; Bacillati; Actinomycetota; Actinomycetes; Micrococcales; Micrococcaceae
Description: contains 16S-23S intergenic spacer region
Source: RNAcentral